RNAcentral lists this ribosomal RNA (394 nucleotides) under Desulfonispora thiosulfatigenes. Its description in RNAcentral is "bacterial SSU rRNA". It matches the Rfam family "Bacterial small subunit ribosomal RNA", at positions 1086 to 1480 of the family's 1533-position model. Lineage: Bacteria; Bacillati; Bacillota; Clostridia; Eubacteriales; Peptococcaceae. The record is from RNAcentral.
CCCGCAACGAGCGCAACCCUUGUCUUUAGUUGCCAGCAUUUCGGAUGGGCACUCUAAAGAGACUGCCGGUGACAAACCGGAGGAAGGUGGGGAUGACGUCAAAUCAUCAUGCCCCUUAUGUCUUGGGCUACACACGUGCUACAAUGGUCGGUACAAAGGGCAGCGAGACCGCGAGGUGGAGCGAAUCCCAAAAAGCCGAUCCCAGUUCGGAUUGCAGGCUGCAACCCGCCUGCAUGAAGUCGGAAUCGCUAGUAAUCGCAGGUCAGCAUACUGCGGUGAAUACGUUCCCGGGCCUUGUACACACCGCCCGUCACACCACGAAAGUUGGUAACACCCGAAGCCGGUGGCCUAACCGCAAGGAGGGAGCUGUCGAAGGUGGGAUCAAUGAUUGGGG